UCUUGGGUUCCACCGUCACCACCAACAACACCAUCAUCACCCCCGCCACUAUCAUCACCAUUAUCUUAUGCAGACACGGAUCUCAUUAGUUGUAUGCAAGCUUCGUGGUAACAUCAGAAACAUCAGCUCCUCCAUUAACAUAUUUCUGAACCCUAGAACUCAAAUUUGAGCUGAUGAAGAUGGUGGUUCAGAGAUAACCUAACUGAUUGGAUUUUCAUCUUCUUCAAAAUCAAAUUAGGUUUCAAUCGAAUUACUUAAUCAAUCCAUGUUCAGAAAAGUUACUCAAUAACCUUCAUUCAUUUGGUUGAUGAAGAUCUAUCUCUUAUUACGUUACUGGUGCAGCUAUACUGAGGGCUAUGGUGGAGGAUUUCUGGGCUGUCAACUAUGGAAGUGUUUAACAAUUCAGUGCAAAUAACUUUUUAGGGGUAUGCACAAUUAGUGACAGCGGUUGAUGUUGUUUACAUGGUCUACGGAAAAUGCAUGGAUGGUGGAUUCAAAUCCAUCUUUUCCAUCAAGUUUUUGAAACUUAAUAAAGGCACUUUCCCAGAUUCGCUCCAGCUCUUCGCAGUGGCUACCCAAGAACUCUUAUAGGACUUUGAUCAUAUAACCCCAGUUGAGGCAGGUGAGACCUGGAUGACCCAGGUUCACAUCAUUCAAAAGUGAUAUAAGCUUGAUUCUGUAGGGCUUAAUGAUGUGACUAAAUUGGAUAUGCUUUCUGGAUGAUAAUGUAAGGAAUGCCUCCCCACUGUUAAAAUUUCCAUGGUAAUGUUUGGUUUUGUUGGGAGUGGCCAUUUAAGUGGGUAAACAUAAUACUGCAGUGUUAUUGUUUGGUAUUUUUGUAAAGUGCAACAUAAUCAAUGCUUAGAUUCUGUUUUGCUGCAAACUGCUGUGGCUGUGCACAAAUGAAUAUUAAGUGAAAAUGUUUGCCAAUGUGCAACGCACGUGCAUUCUACUUGUAGUAUAAGGAAUACAACACGAGGUUUAUUGCUUAACCAUUAAACUUUGUAGAUAA
Molecule: long non-coding RNA, 1012 nt
Organism: Papaver somniferum (opium poppy)
Lineage: Eukaryota; Viridiplantae; Streptophyta; Magnoliopsida; Ranunculales; Papaveraceae
Exons: 4
Source: RefSeq, a predicted model, not a curated record